Molecule: long non-coding RNA, 235 nt
Filed under: Elaeis guineensis (African oil palm)
Lineage: Eukaryota; Viridiplantae; Streptophyta; Magnoliopsida; Arecales; Arecaceae
Description: long non-coding RNA (EGUI_LNC074259)
Source: RNAcentral
UAUGGGUAUAAGUGUCCCUCAGAUCUGAGGCUGCCUCGGUGACUUGUAAGCAACUCACUGUGCUUUGAUGUCGGACUACCUGAAUUUUUAAUUCGAUGAUAAAAAAUUUUUGGAUACGGUCAAGUACUUGUGAAGUCUGAGUAUGAGUCAAGAUGGGAUUGACUGCUUCAAGUAAAAUUGGACAUAUUGCAUCAUUGUGUUUCAAUUCAGUAAAAUUUUGGCCAAAAUAUUCCUA